Molecule: ribosomal RNA, 468 nt
Filed under: uncultured bacterium
Lineage: Bacteria
Description: partial 16S ribosomal RNA
Rfam family: Bacterial small subunit ribosomal RNA
Source: RNAcentral
GACGAACGCUGGCGGCGUGCUUAACACAUGCAAGUCGAACGGAAAGGCCCUGCUUUUGUGGGGUGCUCGAGUGGCGAACGGGUGAGUAACACGUGAGUAACCUGCCCUUGACUUUGGGAUAACUUCAGGAAACUGGGGCUAAUACCGGAUAGGAGCUCCUGCUGCAUGGUGGGGGUUGGAAAGUUUCGGCGGUUGGGGAUGGACUCGCGGCUUAUCAGCUUGUUGGUGGGGUAGUGGCUUACCAAGGCUUUGACGGGUAGCCGGCCUGAGAGGGUGACCGGCAACAUUGGGACUGAGAUACGGCCCAGACUCGUACGGGAGGCAGCAGUGGGAAAUGUUGCACAAUGGGCGGGAGCCUGAUGCAGCAACGCCGCGUUCGGGAUGACGGCCUUCGGGUUGUAAACCGCUUUCGCCUGUGACGAAGCGUGCGUGACGGUAAUGGGUAAAGAAGCACCGGCUAACUACGUG